UGGUGACUGACGUGGCCACAGGCAGGGAGGGGACAUCAGGGCCAGAGAAGCCCAGGUCCAGCGGGAAGAGGCUUCCAGAAAAAGGCAGAGCAUCAGAACCGUGAUUGCAGGGAUUUUAUCCCUAUGGCCAAGACUGAGUCAGUAGCGAUGUUAGCCUUGAGCUGACCGAAGGAAAACUAGGAAAUGAGAACACAUCUUGGACCUGCUAAGACCUUGCUGUGGACCAUGAAUGACGGAAGGGUGGGCAGCAUGGAGCUGGCCCGGGCUCUGCAGACUGUUUCUGGAAAGGGCCAGGGAGUAAACAGUUUAGGUUCUGUGGCCACUCGGUCACUGUUGCAACCACUCGGCUCCGCCCUUGUACGGUGAAAGCCGCCGUGGACGACAGGCAAAUGAGUGGUCGUGGCCUUGUGCCAAUAAAACUUUAUUUGUGGGCCCUGAAA
Molecule: long non-coding RNA, 440 nt
Organism: Eubalaena glacialis (North Atlantic right whale)
Lineage: Eukaryota; Metazoa; Chordata; Mammalia; Artiodactyla; Balaenidae
Exons: 2
Source: RefSeq, a predicted model, not a curated record